UUUUUAAUAUAAGUAUGUUCCAUGCAUCAUUUGGGAUAUACUUACACUGAAA
This 52-nucleotide microRNA precursor is filed under the name Loxodonta africana (African savanna elephant). RNAcentral's name for it is "mir-1302 microRNA precursor family". It matches the Rfam family "mir-1302 microRNA precursor family". The record is from Rfam by way of RNAcentral. Lineage: Eukaryota; Metazoa; Chordata; Mammalia; Proboscidea; Elephantidae.